AGUGGGGAAUAUUGCACAAUGGGGGAAACCCUGAUGCAGCCAUGCCGCGUGUGUGAAGAAGGCCUUCGGGUUGUAAAGCACUUUCAGCGAGGAGGAAAGGUUGGUAGCUAAUAACUGCCAGUUGUGACGUUACUCGCAGAAGAAGCACCGGCUAACUCCGUGCCAGCAGCCGCGGUAAUACGGAGGGUGCAAGCGUUAAUCGGAAUUACUGGGCGUAAAGCGCACGCAGGCGGUUGGAUAAGUUAGAUGUGAAAGCCCCGGGCUCAACCUGGGAAUUGCAUUUAAAACUGUCCAGCUAGAGUCUUGUAGAGGGGGGUAGAAUUCCAGGUGUAGCGGUGAAAUGCGUAGAGAUCUGGAGGAAUACCGGUGGCGAAGGCGGCCCCCUGGACAAAGACUGACGCUCAGGUGCGAAAGCGUGGGGAGCAAA
This 427-nucleotide ribosomal RNA is filed under the name Aeromonas veronii. Its description in RNAcentral is "bacterial SSU rRNA". It matches the Rfam family "Bacterial small subunit ribosomal RNA", at positions 353 to 772 of the family's 1533-position model. The record is from RNAcentral. Lineage: Bacteria; Pseudomonadati; Pseudomonadota; Gammaproteobacteria; Aeromonadales; Aeromonadaceae.